This 553-nucleotide ribosomal RNA is filed under the name Culicoides imicola. Its description in RNAcentral is "partial 16S ribosomal RNA". It matches the Rfam family "Bacterial large subunit ribosomal RNA", at positions 1797 to 2619 of the family's 2925-position model. The record is from RNAcentral. Lineage: Eukaryota; Metazoa; Arthropoda; Insecta; Diptera; Ceratopogonidae.
CGCCUGUUUAUCAAAAACAUGUCUUUUUGAUUAAAUAAAAAGUCUAGCCUGCCCGGUGAAUUUUUAACGGCCGCAGUAUACUGACUGUGCAAAGGUAGCAUAAUCUAUUGUCUUUUAAUUAAAGGCUUGUAUGAAUGGUUGAAUGAGAUAUUAACUAUUUUUAUUUUAAUAAAAAUGAAUUUUAAUUUUUAGUAAAAAUGCUAAAAUAAAAAAAUUAGACGAGAAGACCCUAUAAAUCUUAAUUUUAUUUUUUAUAAUAUUAAUUUUGAAAAUUUUUAAUAAAUUAUAAAAAUAAAAUUUUAUUGGGAGGAUAAUGAAAUUUAAUAAACUUUUAUUUUUUUUUAUAAAUAUAAUUAAAUUAUUGAAUAUAUAAUUAUAAAAUAUUUAAAAAAUUAAGUUACUUUAGGGAUAACAGCGUAAUUAUUUUAAAGAGUUCUUAUCGAUAAAAUAGUUUGCGACCUCGAUGUUGAAUUAAGAAUUAAUUUAGGUGUAGAAGUUUAAAUUUUAAGUCUGUUCGACUUUUGAAUUCUUACAUGAUCUGAGUUCAUACCGG